AGUGAACGCUGGCGGUAGGCCUAACACAUGCGAGUCGAACGGCAGCACAGUAAGAGCUUGCUCUUACGGGUGGCGAGUGGCGGACGGGUGAGGAAUACAUCGGAAUCUACUUUUUCGUGGGGGAUAACGUAGGGAAACUUACGCUAAUACCGCAUACGACCUACGGGUGAAAGCAGGGGAUCUUCGGACCUUGCGCGAUUGAAUGAGCCGAUGUCGGAUUAGCUAGUUGGCGGGGUAAAGGCCCACCAAGGCGACGAUCCGUAGCUGGUCUGAGAGGAUGAUCAGCCAAACUGGAACUGGAACACGGUCCAGGCUCCUAAGGGAGGGAGCAGUGGGGAAUAUUGGGCAAUGGGCGGAAACCUGGUCCAGCCAUACCGCGUGGGUGGAAGAAGCCUUCGGGUUGUAAAGCCCUUUUGUUGGGAAAAAAAAGCCGCCGGUUAAUACCCCGCUGUUCUGACGGUAACCAAAAAAUAAGCACCGGCUAACUUCGUG
RNAcentral lists this ribosomal RNA (492 nucleotides) under uncultured bacterium. RNAcentral describes it as "partial 16S ribosomal RNA". It matches the Rfam family "Bacterial small subunit ribosomal RNA", at positions 29 to 507 of the family's 1533-position model. The record is from RNAcentral.